UGGCUCAGGACGAACGCUGGCGGCGUGCUUCAUACAUGCAAGUCGAACGAGAAGUCACCUUCGGGUGAUGGAAAGUGGCGGACGGGUGAGUAAUGUGUAGAGAAUCUGCCCUAGAGAGAGGGACAACAGUUGGAAACGACUGCUAAUACCUCAUAUGCGCGUAGCUGAGAUGCUAUUCGUGAAAACUCCGGUGCUCUGGGAUGAGUCUGCAUCUGAUUAGCUAGUUGGCGGUGUAAUGGACCACCAAGGCGACGAUCAGUAGCUGGUUUGAGAGGAUGAUCAGCCACAAUGGGACUGAGACACGGCCCAUACUCCGUACGGGAGGCAGCAGGUAGGGGUAUUUUGCGCAAGUGGGGGAAACCCUGACGCAGCAACGCCGCGUGAUUGAAUAACGCCCUUCGGGGUGUAAAGAUCUGUCAGUAGGGACGAAACUUGACGGUACCUACAGAGGAAGCAUCGGCUAACUCCGUGCCAGCCGCUGC
RNAcentral lists this ribosomal RNA (482 nucleotides) under uncultured bacterium. RNAcentral describes it as "bacterial SSU rRNA". It matches the Rfam family "Bacterial small subunit ribosomal RNA", at positions 20 to 518 of the family's 1533-position model. The record is from RNAcentral.